AGGACGAACGCUGGCGGCGUGCUUAACACAUGCAAGUCGAGCGGAAAGGCCCUUCGGGGUACUCGAGCGGCGAACGGGUGAGUAACACGUGAGCAACCUGCCCUUGGCUCUGGGAUAGCCUCCGGAAACGGGGAUUAAUACCGGAUAUUCACUUUUUCCUGCAUGGGGGAGGGUGGAAAGUUUUUUCGGCCAGGGAGGGGCUCGCGGCCUAUCAGCUUGUUGGCGGGGUAAUGGCCCACCAAGGCGACGACGGGUAG
This 257-nucleotide ribosomal RNA is filed under the name uncultured bacterium. RNAcentral's name for it is "partial small subunit ribosomal RNA". It matches the Rfam family "Bacterial small subunit ribosomal RNA", at positions 26 to 286 of the family's 1533-position model. The record is from RNAcentral.